Molecule: ribosomal RNA, 1389 nt
Filed under: bacterium NLAE-zl-P505
Lineage: Bacteria
Description: 16S ribosomal RNA
Rfam family: Bacterial small subunit ribosomal RNA
Source: RNAcentral
CAUGCAAGUCUCUUGAUCCUUCGGGUGAAGGUGGCGGACGGGUGAGUAACGCGUAAAGAACUUGCCUUACAGACUGGGACAACAUUUGGAAACGAAUGCUAAUACCGGAUAUUAUGACUGAGUCGCAUGAUUUGGUUAUGAAAGCUAUAUGCGCUGUGAGAGAGCUUUGCGUCCCAUUAGUUAGUUGGUGAGGUAACGGCUCACCAAGACGAUGAUGGGUAGCCGGCCUGAGAGGGUGAACGGCCACAAGGGGACUGAGACACGGCCCUUACUCCUACGGGAGGCAGCAGUGGGGAAUAUUGGACAAUGGACCAAAAGUCUGAUCCAGCAAUUCUGUGUGCACGAUGAAGUUUUUCGGAAUGUAAAGUGCUUUCAGUUGGGAAGAAGUCAGUGACGGUACCAACAGAAGAAGCGACGGCUAAAUACGUGCCAGCAGCCGCGGUAAUACGUAUGUCGCAAGCGUAAUCCGGAUUUAUUGGGCGUAAAGCGCGUCUAGGCGGUUUAGUAAGUCUGAUGUGAAAAUGCGGGGCUCAACCCCGUAUUGCGUUGGAAACUGUUAAAACUAGAGUACUGGAGAGGUAGGCGGAACUACAAGUGUAGAGGUGAAAUUCGUAGAUAUUUGUAGGAAUGCCGAUGGGGAAGCCAGCCUACUGGACAGAUACUGACGCUAAAGCGCGAAAGCGUGGGUAGCAAACAGGAUUAGAUACCCUGGUAGUCCACGCCGUAAACGAUGAUUACUAGGUGUUGGGGGUCGAACCUCAGCGCCCAAGCUAACGCGAUAAGUAAUCCGCCUGGGGAGUACGUACGCAAGUAUGAAACUCAAAGGAAUUGACGGGGACCCCGCACAAGCGGUGGAGCAUGUGGUUUAANUUCGACGCAACGCGAGGAACCUUACCAGCGUUUGACAUCCCAAGAAGUUAACAGAGAUGUUUUCGUGCCUCUUCGGAGGAACUUGGUGACAGGUGGUGCAUGGCUGUCGUCAGCUCGUGUCGUGAGAUGUUGGGUUAAGUCCCGCAACGAGCGCAACCCCUUUCGUAUGUUACCAUCAUUAAGUUGGGGACUCAUGCGAGACUGCCUGCGAUGAGCAGGAGGAAGGUGGGGAUGACGUCAAGUCAUCAUGCCCCUUAUACGCUGGGCUACACACGUGCUACAAUGGGUAGUACAGAGAGCUGCAAACCUGCGAGGGUAAGCUAAUCUCAUAAAACUAUUCUUAGUUCGGAUUGUACUCUGCAACUCGAGUACAUGAAGUUGGAAUCGCUAGUAAUCGCAAAUCAGCUAUGUUGCGGUGAAUACGUUCUCGGGUCUUGUACACACCGCCCGUCACACCACGAGAGUUGGUUGCACCUGAAGUAAUCAGGCCUAACCGUAAGGAAGGGAUGUUCCGAGGGU